Molecule: ribosomal RNA, 253 nt
Filed under: uncultured bacterium
Lineage: Bacteria
Description: partial 16S ribosomal RNA
Rfam family: Bacterial small subunit ribosomal RNA
Source: RNAcentral
UACGUAGGGUGCGAGCGUUGUCCGGAAUUACUGGGCGUAAAGAGCUCGUAGGUGGUUUGUCGCGUUGUUCGUGAAAACUCACAACUCAAUUGUGGGCGUGCGGGCGAUACGGGCAGACUGGAGUACUGCAGGGGAGACUGGAAUUCCUGGUGUAGCGGUGGAAUGCGCAGAUAUCAGGAAGAACACCCGUGGCGAAAGCGGCUCUCUGGAACGGUACUGACGCUGAGACGCGAAAGCGUGGGGAGCGAACAGG